CAAAACUUUAUUUAACGGGUAUGUUUAUCGAUAUCAAUAACACAUUAUACGAACAUAAUUUUUUUUUAGUAUUAAAUCAACAAAUUUCUUCUUUGACAGGACACACUGAAGUAUAAAUGGAAGAAAAAUUUAUUUGAACACAUAACUGUGCUAUUAUGCCGCCAUAAUUCGAUUAAAAAGUAGGAUGUUCUUUGAGAGAAUACAUUUAAAUGAUCAUGUUAUUAACAAAAAAUUAACCAAUGUAAAUGUAUACGUAAAUGUUAAAUGAUAACGUUAGUAUUGUAACUGUGUUCUGGUCUCGAACAUGAUGCGUUCCAGCUAAUCGUUUUCUCUGAACGCCAUGUGUUCCAAACAUGACGCAACCAUUGUGUAUAGAAAGCAACAAGAAGAUUUUGAACGAUUAUCUUCACUUUUGAGGAUGUAAAUUUGUUAAUAAAAUAAAACCAAUGCAAUUAUAAGGAUUUGUCCAAAAAUACAAAAAAAUGUCAUGGCAUUGCACUGUCAAGAUAGAAGUUUGUAAAAAGGCAUACUGGAACACAAAUUAAAUUUCUCAUUUAUAUGUUAUUAAUAGCUUUCUCAUUCUUAAAUACUUAAUUCUUAGUAAUUCAUUUUAGCAAAUGUCCACCGUUGUGCACUUGUUCAUGUAUUGUAAUGCAUUCCUAUGUUACUUUUAUAGGGUACAAACACAGUAUUUAGGGGUAAUUGUUCGUGCAUACCUCGAGAAUGAAGAGAAAAUUUCGCAGUUCAAGAGAUGACUACUUAUCCUGCACCAUAAAAGUACUAUAUGUAAGUUUAAGAAUUUUUAAUAGGAGUGCCCAUUGACUUCUGACAAGUUUUGUUAUUGCAGAUUUAUCAAUAAAAUGUGCACCAUUCACUUGUUUACAUUAAUCAUAAAACUAUUUGAGCUAAAUUCGAUAUAAUUAAAUCAAUUUAAAGUGGAAUUAUCCGUAUACAGAUCAUAAGUAAAAUUACUACAUAUCUUCAUAUGUCUUUGCUGGACACUUUCUAUCAUCUUUUUUAAAAAGCUAUAGAACACUUACUUGAAAAUACAUGUUUACCACUUUUUAAUACAUGCAUCUUAUCUAAUAGUGCUGACAAGUAUAAUGGAAUUACAAAAACAAAUAAAAGUUUAUAAUUCUUAAGCAAUAUCGACAUGAUGAUUAAUAAUUUGUUUACUCAUACACUUUAUAUUUUACAUUCUAGAACUUACGGUUGAUGGAUAAUAAAGUUAAAGAGUAGUUAUAACCCAAGGAGACGAAUCCUCUAAAAAAUGGAAGCUCAAAAUCAGUUUUAGACGACUCAAAUCAUGUUUAAAAGUACCCAAGGUAGCAGUGUUACAUGAACGUUGAUUCGACCACUAGCAGCAUAUACACAGGGUAUUUUAUGUUUGAUAUUGACUAUCUGAGUGCUAUGCAGGCUGAGGAUUAUUGAAAUUAUUGGUGAUAAACGGGCCAUUGACAUCAGUAUUUUGAAAAGAAAUUCAGGACAGUGCUUGACUUAAGAAGUUGCAAACGAUGAGUUAAACUGUGUUCAUAACAUAAGCCACUAGACAUUGUGUCACAUAACAAUUUUAAAUAUGAUGAACAUUUUGUUUAUGAUUUAAUAUUUGGACACAUUUUGCAAAUUACAGAUGUUAUAUUAUUUAAC
This 1647-nucleotide long non-coding RNA is filed under the name Mytilus galloprovincialis (Mediterranean mussel). Lineage: Eukaryota; Metazoa; Mollusca; Bivalvia; Mytilida; Mytilidae. The record is from RNAcentral.